GCUGGCGGCGUGCCUAAGACAUGCAAGUCGUGCGAGAAAGCACCUUCGGGUGUGAGUACAGCAGCGCACGGGUGAGUAACGCGUGAGCAACCUGCCUUCGGGUCUGGGACAACCUCGGGAAACUGGGGCUAAUACCGGAUGAGACCACGAGCUCUUCGGAGCUUGCGGAAAAAGAUGGCCUCUCCUUGGAAGCUAUCGCCUGGAGAUGGGCCCGCGUCCCAUUAGCUUGUUGGUGAGGUAACGGCUCACCAAGGCGACGAUGGGUAGCUGGUCUGAGAGGACGAUCACCCACACUGGAACUGAGACACGGUCCAGACUCCUACGGGAGGCAGCAGUCGGGAAUUUUGGGCAAUGGGGGAAACCCUGACGCAUCAACGCCGCGUGAGGGAUGAAGGCCUUCGGGUCGUAAACCUGUGUCACGAGGGAACAACGCUCCCAGUGUAAAUAUUGCUCCUACAUUGACGGUGGCUCAAAAUGAAGCACCGGCUGCCUCCAUGCCAGC
RNAcentral lists this ribosomal RNA (502 nucleotides) under uncultured bacterium. RNAcentral describes it as "bacterial SSU rRNA". It matches the Rfam family "Bacterial small subunit ribosomal RNA", at positions 35 to 512 of the family's 1533-position model. The record is from RNAcentral.